Molecule: ribosomal RNA, 542 nt
Filed under: uncultured bacterium
Lineage: Bacteria
Description: bacterial SSU rRNA
Rfam family: Bacterial small subunit ribosomal RNA
Source: RNAcentral
UGGGGAAUCUUGGACAAUGGGGGCAACCCUGAUCCAGCCAUGCCGCGUGAGUGAUGAAGGCCUUAGGGUCGUAAAGCUCUUUCGCCUGUGAAGAUAAUGACGGUAGCAGGUAAAGAAACCCCGGCUAACUCCGUGCCAGCAGCCGCGGUAAUACGGAGGGGGUUAGCGUUGUUCGGAAUUACUGGGCGUAAAGCGCACGUAGGCGGACCAGAAAGUUGGGGGUGAAAUCCCGGGGGCUCAACCCCGGAACUGCCUCCAAAACUAUUGGUCUAGAGUUCGAGAGAGGUGAGUGGAAUUCCAAGUGUAGAGGUGAAAUUCGUAGAUAUUUGGAGGAACACCAGUGGCGAAGGCGGCUCACUGGCUCGAUACUGACGCUGAGGUGCGAAAGUGUGGGGAGCAAAACAGGAUUAGAUACCCUGGUAGUCCACACCGUAAAACGAUGAAUGCCAGUCGUCGGGUAGCAUGCUAUUCGGUGACACACCUAACGGAUUAAGCAUUCCGCCUGGGGAGUACGGUCGCAAGAUUAAAACUCAAAGGAAUUG